CCUACGGGCGGCAGCAGUGAGGAAUUUUGGUCAAUGGACGCAAGUCUGAACCAGCCAUGCCGCGUGCAGGAAACGGGCUCUAUGAGGUGUAAACUGCUUUUGGACGAGGGUAAAUCCCGAUACGUGUAUCGGGUGGAAAGUAUAGUUCGAAUAAGGAUCGGCGAACUCCGUGCCAGCAGCCGCGGUAAUACGGAGGAUUCAAGCGUUAUCCGGAUUUAUUGGGUUUAAAGGGUGCGUAGGCGGUACGAUAAGUUAGAGGUGAAAGCCCGGGGCUCAACUCCGGCACUGCCUGUGAUACUGGCGAGCUAGAGUUUAGUUGCGGUAGGGGGAAUGUAUGGUGUAGCGGUGAAAUGCAUAGAUAUCAGACAGAACACCGAUUGCGAAGGCAGCUUACCAAACUACGACUGACGUUGAGGCACGAAAGCGUGGGGAGCAAACAGGAUUAGAUACCCUUGUAGUC
This 460-nucleotide ribosomal RNA is filed under the name uncultured bacterium. RNAcentral describes it as "partial 16S ribosomal RNA". It matches the Rfam family "Bacterial small subunit ribosomal RNA", at positions 338 to 795 of the family's 1533-position model. The record is from RNAcentral.